This 294-nucleotide ribosomal RNA is filed under the name uncultured eukaryote. RNAcentral's name for it is "partial 18S ribosomal RNA". It matches the Rfam family "Eukaryotic small subunit ribosomal RNA", at positions 1470 to 1796 of the family's 1831-position model. The record is from RNAcentral.
CCCUUUGAUACUCUGGGCGGUACGCGCGCUACACUGGUUUAUAUAACGUGUAAUUUGGACGAUAGUCUGUAUAAAUCACUAAUAUAAAACCGUGAAUGGGAUAGUUUAUUGCAACUUACAAACUUUAACUAGGAAUCCCUUGUAGAAGUAGUGAAUUAUACUGCUUCGAAUACGUCCCUGCCGAUUGUACACACCGCCCGUCGUUUCUUCCGACUGGUACUCAUUGUGAAUUGCGAGGAGAUUCUGUCAAAUCGUUGUAAAUGCUGGGUAUUGGAGGAAGUAAAAGUCGUAACA